Non-coding RNA from Gekko japonicus, 72 nucleotides. NCBI's taxonomy places the organism in Eukaryota, Metazoa, Chordata, Lepidosauria, Squamata, Gekkonidae. The record is from the annotation of a RefSeq genome assembly.
GGGGCUGUGGCUCAUGGGGAGAGCCUCUGCUUUGGAUGCAGAAGGUCCCAGGUUCAAUCCCUGGCAUCUCCA